This 381-nucleotide ribosomal RNA is filed under the name uncultured eukaryote. RNAcentral's name for it is "partial 18S ribosomal RNA". It matches the Rfam family "Eukaryotic small subunit ribosomal RNA", at positions 592 to 976 of the family's 1831-position model. The record is from RNAcentral.
CAAUAGCGUAUAUUAAAGCUGUUGCGGUUAAAAAGCUCGUAGUUGGAUUUCUGUCAAGGACAACUGGUCCGCCCUCCGGGUGAGCACAUAGUUUGGUCUUGACAUCUUGCUGGAAGCUGUUGCUGCACUUGGCUGUGUGGCGCAGUGUUCAGCACUUUCACUUUGAGGAAAUUGGAGUGUUUCAAGCAGGCACAUGCCUUUGGACACAGUAGCAUGGAAUAACUAGAUUGGGCUUUUGCUCCAAUUUGUCGGUUUCUGGAGCUGAGGUGAGUAUUAAUGGGGAUUGUUGGGGGCAUCCGAAUUUAGCCGUCAGAGGUGAAAUUCUUGGAUCUGCUAAAGACGGACAACUGCGAAAGCGUUUGCCCAGGAUGUUUUCAUUGA